Molecule: long non-coding RNA, 427 nt
Organism: Myzus persicae (green peach aphid)
Lineage: Eukaryota; Metazoa; Arthropoda; Insecta; Hemiptera; Aphididae
Exons: 2
Source: RefSeq, a predicted model, not a curated record
UAGGACCCGGGUCAUGGAGAUCACAACCAUAUGUAUGGUAACAACAUGGAUCUAGUUGUCUCGGGAUCUAUUUGUCAUCCUUUGAUCAAAAUGUCUCACUAGUAACCAGUAACCAUGUUAGUUAAAUAAAAAUGUUAUUAUCAUUAUCAAAGUUAAUAAAUUUAUAAUUUGAGUUUUAACUUUUAAGUAUUAAGUAAUAAAUUAAAUUGAUCAAAUUUGAGUUUUGACGAAAAUUGCACACAAUAGAAUUUUUGAAGGAUGACUGGCUUGCGAUUUUGAAACUUGCACCUUGCUGUUAAAUGUUACCUAUGAAUCUAUUGAUUUAUAGACAUGUUUUUACCAAUUUGUAUAAUUCAGCUUAUACAUUUGUCACCCUCAAGUAAUAUGAAUAUUAUAUAAUAUUACUUUGAUACCAUAGGUAAAUAUA